UUGUGGCAUGUGUUGAUUGAUGAUGCAGUCUAAGAUGAUAGCAGGCUAACUCGGAAGGGGUGUGGCGAUUUUUAUUACACCCAUACCCCUCAUUGGUUUCUACACGGCAUUGUACCGGAACGUUAGAUCGUGUGGCGGCCC
Maniola jurtina (meadow brown) is the source of this 141-nucleotide long non-coding RNA. RefSeq lists it as uncharacterized. The record is from RefSeq and is a predicted model, not a curated record. The transcript is spliced from 3 exons. Lineage: Eukaryota; Metazoa; Arthropoda; Insecta; Lepidoptera; Nymphalidae.